UCGGGCGUCGCCAAGCGGUAAGGCACCUGGUUUUGGUCCAGGCAUCCGGUGGUUCGAAUCCAUCCGCCCGAG
RNAcentral lists this transfer RNA (72 nucleotides) under Gloeobacterales cyanobacterium ES-bin-141. It matches the Rfam family "tRNA". From Rfam's summary of the family: Transfer RNA (tRNA) molecules are approximately 80 nucleotides in length. Their secondary structure includes four short double-helical elements and three loops (D, anti-codon, and T loops). Further hydrogen bonds mediate the characteristic L-shaped molecular structure. tRNAs have two regions of fundamental functional importance: the anti-codon, which is responsible for specific mRNA codon recognition, and the 3' end, to which the tRNAs corresponding amino acid is attached (by aminoacyl-tRNA synthetases). tRNAs cope with the degeneracy of the genetic code in two manners: having more than one tRNA (with a specific anti-codon) for a particular amino acid; and 'wobble' base-pairing, i.e. permitting non-standard base-pairing at the 3rd anti-codon position. The record is from Rfam by way of RNAcentral. Lineage: Bacteria; Bacillati; Cyanobacteriota; Cyanophyceae; Gloeobacterales.